This 253-nucleotide ribosomal RNA is filed under the name uncultured bacterium. Its description in RNAcentral is "partial 16S ribosomal RNA". It matches the Rfam family "Bacterial small subunit ribosomal RNA", at positions 524 to 776 of the family's 1533-position model. The record is from RNAcentral.
GACGAACCUUGCUAACGUUAUUCGGAAUUACUGGGCUUAAAGGGUGCGUAGGUGGCGCCGUAAGUCAGGUGUGAAAUUUCGGAGCUUAACUCCGAAACUGCAUUUGAUACUGCGGUGCUUGAGGACUGGAGAGGAGACUGGAAUUUACGGUGUAGCAGUGAAAUGCGUAGAGAUCGUAAGGAAGACCAGUGGCGAAGGCGGGUCUCUGGACAGUUCCUGACACUGAGGCACGAAGGCCAGGGGAGCAAACGGG